Molecule: small nucleolar RNA, 132 nt
Organism: Chiloscyllium plagiosum (whitespotted bambooshark)
Lineage: Eukaryota; Metazoa; Chordata; Chondrichthyes; Orectolobiformes; Hemiscylliidae
Source: RefSeq, a predicted model, not a curated record
GAGCACAAUUUAGUGUCUUGGUGUCUUGUCUGUGACCUUCCAAGUCUCAUUCUUGUGCAAGAUUAAGUUCCAGUUGGAGUGAGAAUUGAGCUUUUACUUGUAGCAUUUUCCUUUCAAAGACUGGAGACAAUU